CCUGCCUCUAGAGGCAUUGCAGGUGUGGCUGCUGUGUCACACGUGUGUCAGUAGGUAUCAGAGAGGAGAGAGGCAAUGUCUAUGCUCACUGUUUUGAUGAACAGCAAAAAAAAAGUGAGCUGAGAUA
Molecule: small nucleolar RNA, 127 nt
Organism: Psammomys obesus (fat sand rat)
Lineage: Eukaryota; Metazoa; Chordata; Mammalia; Rodentia; Muridae
Product: small nucleolar RNA SNORA17
Exons: 1
Source: RefSeq, a predicted model, not a curated record